GCGCCCGUAGCUCAAAUGGAUAGAGCGGCGGACUACGAAUCCGUAGGCUGGGGGUUCGACUCCCUCCGGGCGCA
This 74-nucleotide transfer RNA is filed under the name Caldifarciminota bacterium. RNAcentral's name for it is "tRNA-Arg". It matches the Rfam family "tRNA". From Rfam's summary of the family: Transfer RNA (tRNA) molecules are approximately 80 nucleotides in length. Lineage: Bacteria; Pseudomonadati; Caldifarciminota. The record is from RNAcentral. RNAcentral also lists the same sequence under 1 other name.